Molecule: ribosomal RNA, 901 nt
Filed under: uncultured marine bacterium
Lineage: Bacteria
Description: bacterial SSU rRNA
Rfam family: Bacterial small subunit ribosomal RNA
Source: RNAcentral
AGAGUUUGAUCCUGGCUCAGGACGAACGCUGGCGGCGUGCUUAACACAUGCAAGUCGAACGAGGUCCAUGGAGUAGCAAUACUCCGGAAGACCUAGUGGCGAACGGGUGCGUAACACGUGAGAAACCAACCCCGGUCUCUGGGAUAACAGGUGGAAACGCCUGCUAAUACCGGAUGCCGUCGUUUCCUCGCAUGGGGAGAUGACGAAAGGGCUACCGGAUCGGGACGGUCUCGCGGCCUAUCAGCUUGUUGGAGAGGUAACGGCUCACCAAGGCAUCGACGGGUAGCUGGUCUGAGAGGAUGAUCAGCCACACUGGGACUGAGACACGGCCCAGACUCCUACGGGAGGCAGCAGUGGGGAAUCUUGCGCAAUGGGCGAAAGCCUGACGCAGCAACGCCGCGUGCGGGAUGAAGGCCCUCGGGUUGUAAACCGCUUUUACCAGGAAGGAAACUGACAGUACCUGGAGAAUGAGGUGCGGCCAACUACGUGCCAGCAGCCGCGGUGACACGUAGGCACCAAGCGUUGUCCGGAUUUAUUGGGCGUAAAGAGCUCGUAGGCGGUUCAGUAAGUCGGGUGUGAAAACUCUGGGCUUAACCCAGAGACGCCACCCGAUACUGCUGUGACUUGAGUCCGGUAGGGGAGUGGGGAAUUCCUGGUGUAGCGGUGAAAUGCGCAGAUAUCAGGAGGAACACCAAUGGCGAAGGCACCACUCUGGGCCGAGACUGACGCUGAGGAGCGAAAGCGUGGGUAGCAAACAGGAUUAGAUACCCUGGUAGUCCACGCCGUAAACGGUGGGCACUAGGUGUGGGUUCCAACCAACGGGAUCCGCGCCGUCGCUAACGCAUUAAGUGCCCCGCCUGGGGAGUACGGCCGCAAGGUUAAAACUCAAAGGAAUUGACGG